AUACUUACGUGGCAGGGGAGAUACCAUGAUCAAGGAUGUGGUUUUCCCGGGGCGAGGCUCAUCCAUUGGACUCUGGAUGUGCUGACCCCUACCAUUUCCCCAGUUGUGGCAAACUUGACUGCAUAAUUUGUGAUAGUGGGGGAAUGUGCUCAUGCUCUCCCCUA
RNAcentral lists this small nuclear RNA (164 nucleotides) under Carlito syrichta (Philippine tarsier). RNAcentral's name for it is "U1 spliceosomal RNA (ENSTSYG00000035662.1)". It matches the Rfam family "U1 spliceosomal RNA". From Rfam's summary of the family: U1 is a small nuclear RNA (snRNA) component of the spliceosome (involved in pre-mRNA splicing). Its 5' end forms complementary base pairs with the 5' splice junction, thus defining the 5' donor site of an intron. Lineage: Eukaryota; Metazoa; Chordata; Mammalia; Primates; Tarsiidae. The record is from Rfam by way of RNAcentral.